This 336-nucleotide long non-coding RNA is filed under the name Homo sapiens (human). RNAcentral's name for it is "non-protein coding lnc-HBP1-1:1". Lineage: Eukaryota; Metazoa; Chordata; Mammalia; Primates; Hominidae. The record is from RNAcentral.
GGUGAACAAAGGAAUCUGCUUUUCAAUACCACACUGCCUGCUGCAACCAAAUGUCACUGCAGGGCUUAACAGAAAUAUAGUCUCCCCUCAGUAUACAAGGAGGAUUGGUUCCAGGACCGUAACACCCACCCGUCACCUAAAUCCACGCAUAUUCAAGUCCCACGGUGGGCCCUGAGGAACCCGCGUACAGGAAAAGUUGGCUCUCUACAUAUGCAGGUUUUAUAUCCUGUGAAUAGGGUAUUUUUGAUCUGCCUUUGGUUGAAAAAUAUCUGUGUAUAAGUGGACCUAUGCAACUGUAAUCUCAAAUUUACAGAAAGUUACAAAAAUAAAAACAGU